GGGUCAGUAGGUUGGUCGUGCCACCGGUACGUACUGGUCUCACUGAUUCCUCCUUCCUGAAGAACCGUAAUGCCAUUAAUUUGGUGUUGCGGGGUAAAAGGACUGUUACUUUGAAAAAAUUAGAGUGUUUAAAGCAAGCUAACGCUUGAAUACAUUAGCAUGGAAUAAUGAAAUAGGACGAUCGAUCCUAUUUUGCUGGUUUCUAGGAUUGACGUA
This 216-nucleotide ribosomal RNA is filed under the name Glomeromycotina sp. RNAcentral describes it as "partial small subunit ribosomal RNA". The stretch from base 40 to 216 matches the Rfam family "Eukaryotic small subunit ribosomal RNA", at positions 686 to 864 of the family's 1831-position model. The record is from RNAcentral. Lineage: Eukaryota; Fungi; Glomeromycota.